RNAcentral lists this ribosomal RNA (432 nucleotides) under uncultured bacterium. Its description in RNAcentral is "partial 16S ribosomal RNA". It matches the Rfam family "Bacterial small subunit ribosomal RNA", at positions 29 to 506 of the family's 1533-position model. The record is from RNAcentral.
AGCGAACGCUGGCGGCAGGCCUAACACAUGCAAGUCGAACGAACCUUUCGGGGUUAGUGGCGGACGGGUGAGUAACACGUGGGAACGUGCCUUUAGGUUCGGAAUAACUCAGGGAAACUUGUGCUAAUACCGAAUGUGCCCUUCGGGGAAAGAUUUAUCGCCUUUAGAGCGGCCCGCGUCUGAUUAGCUAGUUGGUUGAGGUAAUGGCUCACCAAGGCGACGAUCAGUAGCUGGUCUGAGAGGAUGAUCAGCCACAUUGGGACUGAGACACGGCCCAAACUCCUGCGGGAGGCAGCAGUGGGGAAUCUUGCGCAAUGGGCGAAAGCCUGACGCAGCCAUGCCGCGUGAAUGAUGAAGGUCUUAGGAUUGUAAAAUUCUUUCACCGGGGACGAUAAUGACGGUACCCGGAGAAGAAGCCCCGGCUAACUUCGU